This 465-nucleotide ribosomal RNA is filed under the name uncultured bacterium. RNAcentral's name for it is "bacterial SSU rRNA". It matches the Rfam family "Bacterial small subunit ribosomal RNA", at positions 47 to 507 of the family's 1533-position model. The record is from RNAcentral.
CUUUACACAUGCAAGUCGAGCGGCAGCGCGGGGGCAACCCUGGCGGCGAGCGGCGAACGGGUGAGUAAUGCAUCGGAACGUACCCUGGAGGUGGGGAUAACGCCGCGAAAGCGGCGCUAAUACCGCAUAUGCUCUGAGGAGGAAAGUGGGGGACCGCAAGGCCUCACGCUCUGGGAGCGGCCGAUGUCCGAUUAGCUAGUUGGUGGGGUAAAGGCUUACCAAGGCGACGAUCGGUAGCUGGUCUGAGAGGAUGAUCAGCCACACUGGGACUGAGACACGGCCCAGACUCCUACGGGAGGCAGCAGUGGGGAAUUUUGGACAAUGGGGGCAACCCUGAUCCAGCCAUGCCGCGUGAGUGAAGAAGGCCUUCGGGUUGUAAAGCUCUUUUGGUCGGGAAGAAAGCGCCUUGCCUAAUACGCGAGGUGAUUGACGGUACCGGCAGAAUAAGCACCGGCUAACUACGUG